Molecule: ribosomal RNA, 409 nt
Filed under: Peribacillus simplex
Lineage: Bacteria; Bacillati; Bacillota; Bacilli; Caryophanales; Bacillaceae
Description: bacterial SSU rRNA
Rfam family: Bacterial small subunit ribosomal RNA
Source: RNAcentral
UCNCUCUGACACCCUAGAGAUAGGGCUUUCCCCUUCGGGGGACAGAGUGACAGGNUGGUGCAUGGNUUGUCGUCAGCUCGUGUCGUGAGAUGUUGGGUUAAGUCCCGCAACGAGCGCAACCCUUGAUCUUAGUUGCCAGCAUUCAGUUGGGCACUCUAAGGUGACUGCCGGUGACAAACCGGAGGAAGGUGGGGAUGACGUCAAAUCAUCAUGCCCCUUAUGACCUGGGCUACACACGUGCUACAAUGGAUGGUACAAAGGGCUGCAAACCUGCGAAGGUAAGCGAAUCCCAUAAAGCCAUUCUCAGUUCGGAUUGCAGGCUGCAACUCGCCUGCAUGAAGCCGGAAUCGCUAGUAAUCGCGGAUCAGCAUGCCGCGGUGAAUACGUUCCCGGGCCUUGUACACACCGA